AACAAGUAACAGGAUGAGAGGACACAGCCUCAAGCUGCGCCAGGGGAGGUUUAGAUUGGACAUUAGGAGGAAUUUCUUCACAGAAAGGGGGCUUAGACAUUGGAAUGGGCUGCUCAGGGAGGUGUGGAGUCAUCAUCCUUGGAGAUGUUGAAGCAGAGCCUGGACGUGGCACUCAGUGCCAUGGGCUGGGUGCCAAGGUGGGGUUGGGGCACGGAUUGGACUCAAUGAUCUCAGAGGUCUUUUCCAACCUAGUUGAUUGUGAUUCUGUGUCCCAAACAAUGGUGUGUCCCAGUGACUUGGACCUUUCUCUUCAUGACGUCCCCAGCUUGGCUCUUCCUCCCCUCAUUACUCUUGUCCUAAUUAACAAACCACAGUGAAGCUUCUCUUUCUCACAGCCAGAUAUGGCCUGGUGUUGGCUCUGCCUCAUCUGUGCAUUGCCCUUGUUGCCUAAAAUCAGAGAAAUAAUUCUCUGGACAGUUUUGAGUACAGAAAGGUAGAAAGCAGCACUUUAACUGUGGUGCCUUUGGUGUACAAACUGUACUGCACACGCCCACAGUACAGGCCUUUACAAUUUUUAUAAUACCAUCUAAUUACAAUAUCUAGGCAUUACCUCAUUAGUUACACCCAGCCCCAAAACUGUCUGUCCCAUUGUCCCACCCUCAGACACACCUCCCAAAUUUGAGUCAGUGGUGGCAAAACAACCACCCUUUCAUCCCUGUCCUCCUCCUCAUCAUCAUCUCUGUCCUGCUUGCAACAGCUUCAAGGCUCCUGAGCAGUUUUGACUUGGUUAUAUCAAAUGGUGUGAUCCUGUUAUGUCUUAUUCCGAGUACAUUUUCUCCAGAUAAGCUGUUUUUCACCUUGCUCAAAUCUCGGUCCGUUGGAAUCCUCGGCAAGGAACGUUAAACAUUUUCGGAAAUCUCGUACAGAGGUGCUAAAAGUGCCACACUAAAAGAGCUAAACUAAAAUUGGAUGUGACACAGAGUUGAAGGCAUCACCCUCGAGCCUGUUGCAGGGCCUCCUGACCAUGGUUGAGCACCAAAAGCCUCCUGAUAACCCGAGGACUCUGUCACAGCGAGCUCCGUUCGCACCGAGCUGGCACCGCUCCCACCCACCGCCUUCCCCACCUCCGAAGGAGUCUGGAGCUCAGCAAGGGGAAGGAACAUUCCAUAGAAGGGAAGAGAUCUCUGCCAGGCUCUGCAGAAAUGGGACACAGAUGGUGCCUUAAAUGAGAGCGGAAGUUUAUUUGGGGGCCCUGCUCGUGACGUCGCGCUGCAGAUCCCGCAGCAGAUGACAGACACCAGCAUCUCAGAGAGGAGCCCACGGAAGGAUCUGGAGUUAUCCAUGGAGCCUGGCUAAUCUGUGCACACCAAUCUGUCUCUCUCCACCCAGGGAAUGGGAGCCUGGCAGAUUCAUGCCGUGAGAUGGGACAGGUUUGCCCAACCCACCAACUUAUCCUGCAAAUAAUUCGCUCCCAGAGCGAUCUCCCAUCUUUCCCCAGCUCCAAAUUCACGUCUUCCCAAAAUACUUCUGUGAAAUGCACGAAGGAGCAAUUCAGUGACUACAGAUCCUACAAGUCCAGCUUGACUCAGCCUGCAGGGACUGAAAACUCUUCCUGGUUUAUUUUCCCACAUUUGGAUGCUGAAGGAAGUAAGAGAAAGGGUUGCAGAGCCAGAUGGUUUAUCAGCUGAUGAUUAUUGUGUGGCCCAUCACAAGUGUUCCCUUGUAAGUAAAGCUUUGCUUUGAAGGGUUAUUAAAGCCUGGAGUGCAGCUUUGCUCCAGGCUUAGUUUUCCUUCAAAGACUCUUGUCUUUGAAGGCAAAUCAAAAUAAUCCAGUGUCUAUUUUGAAACAUCAGUGCCUCUGAUUCUGUGAAAUGGUGUUGUUCUGUUCUUCUCUUAAGAGCUGGGAGCUAUUUAGUUCAGCAGCACUGGCGAUCAACAAAUUCCUGGAAGGCCAGAUGGGGACAGCAGCGUGACAGGUAGCAAAGAACACAGGAGAAGACUCAGUAGGACAUUUUUUACUGCAAGCCCAGGAGGUUGGAAAAUGUUCCUGGGGUGGGAUUCGUCUCACUUGAUUUCUCGGAGGGCAAAAAGGCAAAUCACUAAACCUGACCUAAACAUAGAAUGGUUUGGGUCGGUAGGGACCUUCAGGAUUACUUAAUCCCAACCCUCUACCAUAGACAGGGGCACCUUCCACUAGUCCAGGUUGCUCAGUCACCAGAUAGAGCCCACAGAAAUCAAAUGCUGAUUUCCAAAAUUGAAUCCGCCUUCAAAAUCCAAAUGAAAAAUUUCAGAAGUCGACUCUGGAGGUCUCUGUGUGACACCUGGGGCGUUGUCAGCAUGUUCUCCUGGCAACCUGGGCACCCCCUUUCCAGCAGCAGACCAUAAAUGCGUCAAGAUCAGCUUUGUUGGGAGUUACAGCUCCCUCCCUGCAGCCAGGAAUGAAAUAACCCCUUAAGUGCAAAUAAGAAAAGUUAUUUCCACUCCUGAGUUCAGCUCAAACUCUGGUGAAGUUCCUGCCCAGAGGAGCCAGGUUAUGUCUUCCCGUGGGGUUUUCCAGAAUCCAGUGCAAAGAUGGGCUGAGUCCUAUCAAAAAUUCUUCUCCAAAUCAAAUCACAACCAAUAGCCCAGACCACUUUGAGGUCUGCACAAAUCUCAUCCAACUCUUCCUGAGUUUUUUGGGGCGGGGGUCUCCGAAUUGGGGUUUAGGUCAAAGUGGCUCGAAGGAGACAAAGCACAUCAAAGGCUUCUCAAGGCCAGUGGUGCCACCUAAUGGGAAAAUUCCCAGGGAAUGAGUUCCUCGGAAGUGAAAGCCCUUAUCUGGAGUGUUGCUAGGUGACGUCGAGAUGGAAAUCAGGAGCCCUGACGUAAGUCCCUCUUUUCUGCUGCUUUACGACCAUUCCUCCGUCAAUCCAGUCCCUUUUUCCCCAGCAUCCGAGCCACACGCGCGGGAUCGCCCUGGGAAUUUCGGGUUAUUUCCUGCUUUUAAAUCCAUUCUCAGCAAUGCCCUGAAGCUGCCAAAGGGAUUUUGUCCUUCUUGACGCUCGGCGUGGAGAGGAAAUUAUCCCAGAUUUUUGGAAUAUGAAGAGCCAGGCAGAAAACAAGAGGGAAUGAAGGAGUACCAUGGGAGAGACCAGGAAUCUGUGGGUUUUAUCGUUAGUUACAGGUUUUGAAAAUGAGAGGUGAUGCAGGCUCUGCACUGCAACCUCCCCACGCUGCUGCAGCUCAGAUCCCUCUGGAAUCACACUGUGGCUGUGCAAAAAAAAGGGAUAAUAUCUCAAAAGUUCCCAAAUGGUAACUCCCUGCAGCCCCUCCAAAUCAUAAAUAAUCAUGAGAGUAGGCAGAAAUGAAGUGGGAAGCCUGUCCUGGUCUCAAGGGAUUAAUAUGUUCCCUGACUGUGUUGUCUUCCCAACACCUCCACCUGUUUUUCCCUGACAGUCACUCACCACCAUCCCCCGUUCCCUUUAUUUUUCAGGAGUGUGUUACAGGGUUAGAGCAGGGUCUGGAUCAUUCUCAGGUCUCAUCUCACCUCUACCAUCAAUAAAUCCAAAGUUUUAAACUGUC
Long non-coding RNA from Pipra filicauda (Wire-tailed manakin), 3561 nucleotides. RefSeq lists it as uncharacterized. The record is from RefSeq and is a predicted model, not a curated record. The transcript has 3 exons. Lineage: Eukaryota; Metazoa; Chordata; Aves; Passeriformes; Pipridae.